Molecule: ribosomal RNA, 253 nt
Filed under: uncultured bacterium
Lineage: Bacteria
Description: partial 16S ribosomal RNA
Rfam family: Bacterial small subunit ribosomal RNA
Source: RNAcentral
UACGUAGGGGGCUAGCGUUGUCCGGAAUCAUUGGGCGUAAAGCGCGCGUAGGCGGCCAGAUAAGUCCGGUGUGAAAGUCACAGGCUCAACCUGUGAAUGCCGCUGGAAACUGUCUGGCUAGAGUCCGGAAGGGGCGAGUGGAAUUCCUGGUGUAGCGGUGAAAUGCGUAGAUAUCUGGAGGAACACCGGUGGCGAAGGCGGCAUCCUGGACCGAGAUUGACGCUGAUGCGCGAAAGCCAGGGGAGCAAACGGG